This 538-nucleotide ribosomal RNA is filed under the name uncultured bacterium. RNAcentral's name for it is "bacterial SSU rRNA". It matches the Rfam family "Bacterial small subunit ribosomal RNA", at positions 777 to 1315 of the family's 1533-position model. The record is from RNAcentral.
AAUAGAUACCCGGGUAGUCCACGCCGUAAACGUUGGAUACUAGGUGUGGCGGUUAUACCAAUGACUGCCGUGCCGAAGCUAACGCAUUAAGUAUCCCGCCUGGGGAGUACGGCCGCAAGGCUAAAACUCAAAGGAAUUGACGGGUCCCCGCACAAGCGGCGGAGCAUGCGGCUUAAUUCGAUGCAACCCGAAGAACCUUACCUGGGUUUGACAUCACGGGAAAAGCUGUAGAAAUACAGUGUCCAUUAGGGCCCGUGACGGGUGGUGCAUGGCUGUCGUCAGCUCGUGUCGUGAGAUGUUGGGUUAAGUCCCGCAACGAGCGCAACCCUUGUCCUAUGUUGCCAGCGGUUUCGGCCGGGGACUCAUAGGAGACUGCCGGGGAUAACUCGGAGGAAGGUGAGGACGACGUCAAGUCAUCAUGCCCCUUAUAUCCAGGGCUGCACGCAUGCUACAAUGGCCGGUACAACGGGCAGCGACCCCGCGAGGGUGAGCGAAUCCUAAAAAGCCGGUCUAGUUCGGAUUGAAGUCUGCAACUCGA